This 6357-nucleotide long non-coding RNA is filed under the name Sus scrofa (pig). RNAcentral's name for it is "lncRNA (ENSSSCG00000053610.1)". The record is from RNAcentral. Lineage: Eukaryota; Metazoa; Chordata; Mammalia; Artiodactyla; Suidae.
CCUAUAGCCUGGAUGGGUAUAGGAGGCUAGAGCAGGACUGGAGGCUGGGGCAGGUGGAAAGUGUUGGCUGUGGUUGGUGAGAUUAAUAGGUGAAGUAGUUUGUGUAUGGAAGACUUUGAAAACUUGGCAGACGAGUGUGGCUUUAAUUCAGCUGAUAACAGUGUGGGUUUCUGAACAUGAUCAAAGUGUGUGUUGUUUGACAUAGAUCUUGCAGGCUGCUGCAUAAAAAUGGAUUGAAGGGGAGGAGGCUGAGAGAGGAAGCAGCAUUCCCUUAUGACAGAGAAAAAAGAGACCAUGAAGGACUGUUUAAUCUAGCUUCAUGCUUCCAAGAGGGCUAAUUUCUAAAUUACCAAAGUCAAGUCACUGAUUUUAUUUUUCAAAAAUUUGUCCAUAGGCAUCGAUUCUAUAAGCAACUGACUGGACCUCUUGUUUAAUUACUGUCAUACAUAAGAAGCUGAUUUGCUUAUUUGCUUUUAAAAUAAUGUGUGUAUGUCAAGACGCUAUAACCAAAUAUAUUAUGUAUCACAGCAUAUUUGGAAAAAAUAGAAAAAUCUGUGGAAGAGAAUAAAUCAUCCAUAAUGUCAGAAACGAUAGUAUGUUUGGGGGAGUAUUUCCUCCUGGAAGCAGGAGACAGUAAGUACUACAUUUAUUUACUUCAAUUUAGAAGAAAAAGAAAGGAAGAGAAAGCCUGAGCUCCCUGAAAAGGACAACUUUCAGAAGAAACAGGGAGAGGCGGAAACAAGAUUAAGGAUCAAGAGCAAUGAAAAGAAAGCAGAGGGUCUUGAAGAUUUACCGAACAGUUGGGAGAGCUUGGGAGGAGCCUCUGCUGGGCAGCACAGGGCUUCACAGAGCUGAAUAGGCGGAGAGGUUUUAAGGCAGUUCAUCUGUAUGAUACGUGAUGCGAUCCCCCUUGAAAGGACUUCCCUAAGGACUCAUGCUAUGUUUCAAGCCUGCGGAAAGCAGAAGUUUCUUAGUUCUCCUGUGGUACAGCGGCUUAAGGAUGUUAAGUGGUGCUAACAUGGCAGCAGUUAACAUGGAAGUUCCUGGGACAGGAACUUACUGUCUCUAAGUAUUUUUCAUCACUUUACCCACUGCCCCAUCCAUGAGAUGAAGGCCGAGAAUUAAGCAAUUCAGCUAAAGAAUUUUUCUUGGAAAAGUUGGGGAGGGUAGAAGAUGGUGAAAACUCUGUUUGCGUAAUAUUGCACCUGCCACCCAAACAGAUGGGAGGCGACCCAUAUUACUAAGAGACUGGAUCCCCUUAAUCCAGAUUAUCUACUGAUUAACUUGGGCAAAGAGCAUCUCUGGAAAGUAGAAAGCUGAUUACGGCUAGUAAAUAAACAGACUCUAAACUCUAGUAGGUGCCGAAAGAAAACUCUCCGUUGAGUUGGCUCCUUGGUUGAUGUUUUCUGCCACUUAGAAGCAAGUGUUUGGACAUACGGAUUUACAAGAUGAAAGGCUCGUGCCAAGCCUGGGGCCCCAAAUAUUGAGCAAGGCCAUAUUGCUUCAUAUGGUUGUUCUACGCAUUUCAGGAACUUCUGGGUGUUGUCUGAGGGCUGAAAUGAUGACUUGCCAGCCUCAUGUUCUCUUAGUGGUCACUAUCAGCAAACCCCACCUUUGAGCAUGUCAGGUGCAUGGUCCAGGGCUCGUGUUAAGUGUUAUGACAACUGGACGGCUGGAUGUGGUCUUACCCUGAAAAUGUCUAUGGGUCUUCCUUGGAGUUUCCAGGCAUCCCCAGAGAAACCUUUCUCCCCUACGCUUCCUUGGAUCUGUGGAAUUGUUUCCGUUUAUGCUUUGUCCCUUGGUCUGUCCCACGGUUGUAUAUAGUCCUGGCUACCUAUAAUUAUAUCUUCUACUGUGGAGCUUUGCCCUAUUCUGUCUUCACGGUUUCUUCGGGAAUUCCUUGAGCACAGAAUAUAGCUCUUCCCUUUUGCCAUCACAGAUGGACCAUAAGGCCGGCAUUGGCAGUCUACAAAAAGGAUUUCAGCCAUGGAUGAUCAGUAUUUAAAGAACGACAAACAGCUAACUAAUGGGAAGGAAUGAACUCUACGCUAAAAUUAUCCCCAGAUACCAGAGAGAUGAGGUUGAGGACAUAUAUUUUAAUUGAGGUUGAGGACAUAUAUUUUAAUUGAAAGAGGUAAUGACGACGGGAAGGAUAUGGCUCCUUCCCACUUCUAUCAAGAUCCUGAAUUUAUGAAAAAAGGCAAAUUAUAAAAGAAAUUGGUUUGUGGAAGUGUUCCUUUACAGUCGGAAGGAACUUUAAAAAUUACCUUGAGCAGCUUCCUGACCCCAUGGAUAAAGACCCAAGGCCUAGAGCAAUGGAAUAACUUGUUCAAGGUUCCUCUGGCCAGUGGCUGGAAGUUUUGUUGGGUAUUUAACAUGUAUCAGAUAUUAUUCUAGAUCCCACAUAAGCAGCCACAAAUGAAGUCAAGGUCAUUGCCCUCUUGGAGUUUAAACAUCAGUGGGGGAGGCAGAUAAUAACCGAUGAACAAGAACAUUUGAAACAGUGAUGAUGCUUUGGACAGUAUCAAAGGAGGGAUGUGACAGGGAGAUGGAAGAGGUUCUGAAGACAGGACAUGGGUGCCAAGGCCUCAGGGUAAGAAGUACCAGCCUGUAACGUGGUGUGAGUGAGUGCAUGGGGGCACCACAGCCCUGCCAGUGCCUCCCAAGAAAGCAGUUCAUCAUUUCCAGGGAGGAUUUGUCAUCUCCUUACAUGCUUUUCAGAAAGGUAAGCAAAACCCAUGUUAAAGAUAGUCUGCAGAUAGGUAUCAUGCAACAAAAACUACCAUGUGUCAGAGCAGGUCCUAGAGUCCUGAAAAAGGGAAUUUCCAGAGCAUCCAUUUCCUGCCUUUGAGGAGCUAAGAGGCUAAUGAACGUCUUGUCAUUACACAAGCAACCUCCUGGGUCUUGACAGUUGCUCUGAGAUCUCUCCAAGUAGAAGGAAGGGAGGCAGCUAAUUUGACUUAAACAGGGUCCAGUCAAGAUCCAUUCCUCUUCUAAAAAGGGCUCUUAGUCAUCGUACUCAGGGCUUUAGCUUUGUAUUUUAUCUACCCAUAUAUUGGUGGUUAACUUCAUUACAUAGGAGAAGAAAGUCAAUAUAUAUAUAUAUAUUCGUAACAUUGACUCUAAGACUGAUACUAAUCAUUGGAAACAAAUGAGAAAAGCCAAUGAAAUUUCCAUGAGCAACUGCCAAUAUUGCAAAGCAUUUUUUUUUCUUUUUAAAAAUAAGAUUUAGCUAAAUAUAUUGGGAUUGGAUGUGAAAAAUUCAAGCUUCCUCUUGAUUUUUACUCUUUAGUCUGUGAUCACCUAAGGAGCCACUCUGAAAGGGACUGAUAGAUAUUUAGUGUUGAGAAUAAAAAAUACAUUUUGUUAGAAAUGUUAUCUCCAUACCAACUUUCAGAGAAAAUUUCUCCCAGAUCAUAUGGCCUUCCCAUGAUCAUUGAAAAAAGAAAAAAUAUAUAGUCAUAUUUAAAGUUUGGAGAAGAGAGUCUUAGACUUAUUUUUUUAAAGCCAGUUUAAUGGAGAUCUUGGGGUUCUUUAAGAUAUUUCUUUUUUGUUUGUUUUAUUGCUUUUUAGGGCCACAGGUGUGGCAUGUGGAAAUUCCUGGACUAGGGGUUGAAUCAGAGCUACAGCUGCCAGCCUGUGCCACAGCCAUAGCAACUCAGAAUCUGAGCCUUGUUUGCAACCUACACCACAGCUCAGGCAACACCGAAUCCUUAACCCACUGAGUGAGGCCAGGGCUUGAACCCAAAUCCUCAUGGAUGCUAGUCAGGUUCAUUACAGCUGAGCCAUAAUGGAAGCUCCCUCUUUAAGACAUUUCUAAAGAAACUUUAUAAUGAUUAAAAAUUGUUUUCAGUCCUACUGCAAAAACAUUCCCUACAUUGUUGAAGGGGAUGAGAUGACUAUAAAAAAAAAAUCUAGGAAAGUUUCAUAGCCUCAAAAAUGUGAAAAAUCCACGUGGCCUAAUCUUCUCCCAGGAAGCGAGGCUUUGUAUCCAGCCUUGACCUGUGAGAGCUAGAGCAUGGUCUGUUGUUGGCUACUCCAUAACUUUGUGAUGUGAUUGUCACAAAGCACAGGGUUUCUCAGAAGGUGUGAGUGGUGGAAGAAAGGGCGAGAAUGCAAAAGUGUAUAUUCCUCUGGGAGUGUAAUAGAACCUCGAAGCUUCCAACCAGAAAAUAAAACACGAGGUAGCAAAGAUGCUAUUUCUCCUGUGCAGGUGUGAUAAGGAGAUGGCAGAAGCUCCGUGAAACUGAUCAUGGGUUCACAGAUAUUUUCUUUGGAUACAAUGUGUAGUGCUCUGGGAUUCUCUAGUCUCUUUUGCUCUCACUCCAAGCUUGGCUUUGGGAAGGGGGAGAAGGUCACCUCUUAGGCAAAUGGGGAGUGAAGAUUCAAGGUCAGACAUCUGACUUUGGUCUGGCACCCUCCAUUUGCAGGCUUGAGUCCAUGGCUAGGUCAGGCUGGGUUGGCAGAGCAAAGGCAGGUGCAACUCUUUGGGAACAAACAUGAUGACAGAGUGAAAGUGAAGGAUUUCCUUGGAUGGGUCUCACAGGGAAGAGUCGGUUUGUUCAGGAGGAUAGUCUGGAGAGAGGAAAGGACCCCUCAGGGGCAAACACUUCUGAAGCCUAGAGGCUGAGGGGGUGUGAAGCGGCCAGCCAGAACAGGGGUAUGGUCUGUUCAAGGGCACUGUGGCCCCAGGCUACAGCUUGGUUCUCUGCAGAACUUGCCCAAGCAUCCCACAGAAAUAAAAGCCAACCUCAGAGAGCCCUCAUGCCCAAAGAGCAUCGAUACCAAUUUAUAUCUGUACCUUUUCUCCCGAAACUCUACCCCUGGGCCUGGUCACAGGGUGGGUCAGAAACAUGAACUGGUCAGGGGGAGAGAGAUAAUGCCCGGAAGAAAGGGGCCAAUCCUUUGCUCUCCCUUCCUCGCAACAGAACCCCAGGGGGACAUAGGCCAAGAUGCAGUGAUGGGGAGAGGGCCAGUUUUAACUUUAAAUGAGUUUGGAGUUUUGUUGCUCUACUAGAACAGACUGGACUUAGUGCUUGAAGGCAGCCAGAGAACUUUUCUCAUCUAAGUACUAUUAGAAACCAGAGACAUUCCUAAAAUUUCAUCUCAGGGUCAGGAGAGAACAGAGGAAGGAGUUUAACAGGCAAAGAAAAAGCAAAUGAAGUUGGUUUCUAGAUUAGUGAAUAAGCUGGCUCCCUGGCUUGAACACACACUGAGAUUACGUGGCUUUUGGGUUCCAUGGAAAAGGUCGACAAUAUUGGCUUUACUUGCAUUUUCUCAGUGUCAGUGUCUGUAAAGUGCUUAGCAUAGCACAAGCCCUCCAUAACCUACUGGAUUAUUUUGCUAGUUAUCUUUAAUUAUCAUUACAGGGCAUCUGAUUUAAGACAUAUCCAGCUAGACUCUCAAAGAAGCAGGGCCGGUUCCAGGCCUCAGUAGAGGGAGCUCUGAAGCCAUCCCUCUCAGGGGGAAGGGGUGGCGGGCCCUGGGCAAAUGAUUUAAGUGAUGCAUCAGCUUCUGGGAAGUACCAUGGCAGAGAGAUCAGGCCGUCCUGACUUGGACUCUUGGCUCCACAGGCAGUGGUGGGACAAAUACUAACUUCUCUAUACUUCAAUUUUCUCAUUUUAAAAAUCCAAAAAUAACAUGUACCUACUUGGGGAGGGGGGGAUUAAUACCUACUUAAGUGAGCUGUUGUGUACAUAAUGGAUAUUCCAUUUGUUUGCUUCCUUCUUCCUGGUUCAUUUAGCCAUGUUCCUUUUGUUUAAUUCUUAAAACCUCUCUACGGAAGCCCAGCAUUCUUAUUCUUAAACUUUCCUCCUCUGGGACCUGUUUCCUCUACUUAUUUGGGAAAGUAGCCUCAUAAAUGAAUCUCUGAGGUAGGAAAAGGAACGAUCAUUGCUUGUUCUGGAGGUUAGCUCUUAACAGGGAAAUGUGGAAGUCAGAAUGCAGAGAAGAAACCUCAGACCCUGAAUUUUCACGCCUGUGCAAACCCAGUGGCAAAGGUUGAGGAUUGGAAGAACCAUAUGAAGCACCCCACCAGGCUGGGGUCCCCUGAUGACAAAAUGACUUUUUUCCAACUUGGGCAUCUGACCCUUAGAACCAGGGAAUGGCCACCUGCUCUGUGUCCAGUUCUAAACUCAGACCUUGCAACAGAAGGUAACCAACCUGACUGGUAUCCAUGAGGACACAGGUUUGAUUCCCAGCCUCGCGCAGUUGGUUAAGGAUCUGGCAUUGCCGUGAGCUGUGGUAUAGUUGCAGACAUGGCUUGGAUUCUGCAUUGCUGUGGCUGUGGCAUAAGCCAGCAGCUGUAGCUCCGAUUAGACCUCUAGCCUGGAAUUUCCAUAUGCCGUGGGUGUGGGC